This 468-nucleotide ribosomal RNA is filed under the name uncultured bacterium. RNAcentral's name for it is "partial 16S ribosomal RNA". It matches the Rfam family "Bacterial small subunit ribosomal RNA", at positions 28 to 507 of the family's 1533-position model. The record is from RNAcentral.
GACGAACGCUGGCGGCGUGCUUAACACAUGCAAGUCGAACGGCAAGGCCCUGCUUUUGUGGGGUGCUCGAGUGGCGAACGGGUGAGUAACACGUGAGUAACCUGCCCUUGACUUUGGGAUAACUUCAGGAAACUGGGGCUAAUACCGGAUAGGAGCUCCUGCUGCAUGGUGGGGGUUGGAAAGUUUCGGCGGUUGUGGAUGGACUCGCGGCUUAUCAGCUUGUUGGUGGGGUAGUGGCUUACCAAGGCUUUGACGGGUAGCCGGCCUGAGAGGGUGACCGGCCACAUUGGGACUGAGAGACGGCCCAGACUCCUACGUGAGACAGCAGUGGGGAAUAUGGCACAAUGGGCGGAAGCCUGAUGCAGCAACGCCGCGUGCGGGAUGACGGCCUUCGGGUUGUAAACCGCUUUCGCCUGUGACGAAGCGUGAGUGACGGUAAUGGGUAAAGAAGCACCGGCUAACUACGUG